This 253-nucleotide ribosomal RNA is filed under the name uncultured bacterium. RNAcentral's name for it is "partial 16S ribosomal RNA". It matches the Rfam family "Bacterial small subunit ribosomal RNA", at positions 524 to 776 of the family's 1533-position model. The record is from RNAcentral.
UACAGAGGGUGCAAGCGUUGUUCGGAAUUAUUGGGCGUAAAGCGCGCGCAGGCGGUUUCUUAAGUCUGAUGUGAAAGCCCACGGCUCAACCGUGGAGGGUCAUUGGAAACUGGGAAACUUGAGUGCAGAAGAGAAGAGUGGAAUUCCACGUGUAGCGGUGAAAUGCGUAGAGAUGUGGAGGAACACCAGUGGCGAAGGCGGUUCUCUGGGCCUUACCUGACGCUGAGGAGCGAAAGCGUGGGGAGCGAACAGG